Molecule: long non-coding RNA, 1135 nt
Filed under: Mus musculus (house mouse)
Lineage: Eukaryota; Metazoa; Chordata; Mammalia; Rodentia; Muridae
Description: long non-coding RNA chr2:129929386-129930521
Source: RNAcentral
AAAACAAACUUCAAGACAGAUCUAACCAGAAGAGGUGGGAGGGGAUUUUAUAGUCAUUAAAGGAAAAAGUCACCAAAUAAGAUAUUACAAUCUUAAACAUAUAUACACCAAACUUAGGAGUACCCAACUUCAUAAAAGAAACACUUUUACACUUAAUAUGACAAAUUAAUGUCACCACAGAGAGAGGUAGUAGGUGAUUUUAGUACCCUAUUCUCACAAAUAAAGUGGUCAUCUAGACCUCUAAGACAGAAAAAUUGUGGAGUUAAAUGACAUCAUAAAUCAAGUGGACUUAAUAGGUGUCUAUAGAACAUUCCACCUAAACACUAAAGAAUAUACAUUUUUUUCAGCAGCCCAUGAGACUUUCCCCAGAUAUAGAGCACAUAUUAGAAUACAAAGCAAGUCUCAACAAAUACACGAGAACUGAUUCACAUCCAGCAUUCCAUGUGAGCACUGUGAAUUAACAUUGGGUAUUGCCAACCAAAAAAAAGACAGAAAAACACAAUUUUAUAAAAACUAAAUAACACACCACUGAAUCAAAUCGAAUACAGGACUAAAUCUAGAAGGGAAAAGUAAAAUUCCUAAUAUUAAAUGAAAAUGGCGACAAGCCAAAGCCUCUGGAACCCAAGAAGGCAGUUCUAAGUGUAAUUAAUAUUCAUGGCCCUAACUGCCUACAUCAAAAGACUUGAGAGAUCUCAAAUCACUAGCUGAAUAAUGCUCACAAAGGCCUUAAAAGGGGGAGAACGGUGAACACCCCAAAAAAGUAGACAGGAAGAGCUAAGCCCUAGUAAUCAGGGCUAAAAUUAAUAAAAUAGAAACAAACAAAUGCAAAGAUUCAGUGAAAUAAAGAGCUGAUUUGUUCUUCUGAAGUUUGCUUGUUUAUAUUAUUGUCCUUGUUUUUGUUGUCAACUGAUGCAAACUAAGGUUAUCUGGAAAGAGGAGCUUCGACUGAGAAAAUGCCUCCAUCAUAUUGCCUGUAGGCAAGUCUUUGUGACAUAUUAUUGAUUAUGAUUUAUGUGAGUUGUAAAAUAAGGAUUGCUUUUGGUCAUAUAUCUUAAGAUAGUGACCGAAACCCUAAGACAUAGUUCUUUGAAAAGAUUUAUAAGAUUGACAACCUUUUAGCUAAGUUUUCCUGGCU